GAUGAACGCUGGCGGCGUGCCUAACACAUGCAAGUCGAACGAAGCACCUUACCUGAUUCUUCGGAUGAAAGUUUGGUGACUGAGUGGCGGACGGGUGAGUAACGCGUGGGUAACCUGCCCUGUACAGGGGGAUAACAGCUGGAAACGGCUGCUAAUACCGCAUAAGCGCACGAGGAGACAUCUCCUUGUGUGAAAAACUCCGGUGGUACAGGAUGGGCCCGCGUCUGAUUAGCUGGUUGGCAGGGUAACGGCCUACCAAGGCAACGAUCAGUAGCCGGUCUGAGAGGAUGAACGGCCACAUUGGAACUGAGACACGGUCCAAACUCCUACGGGAGGCAGCAGUGGGGAAUAUUGCACAAUGGGGGAAACCAUGAUGCAGCAACGCCGCGUGAGUGAAGAAGUAUUUCGGUAUGUAAAGCUCUAUCAGCAGGGAAGAUAAUGACGGUACCUGACUAAGAAGCUCCGGCUAAAUACGUG
RNAcentral lists this ribosomal RNA (477 nucleotides) under uncultured bacterium. RNAcentral describes it as "partial 16S ribosomal RNA". It matches the Rfam family "Bacterial small subunit ribosomal RNA", at positions 28 to 507 of the family's 1533-position model. The record is from RNAcentral.